This 254-nucleotide ribosomal RNA is filed under the name uncultured bacterium. RNAcentral describes it as "partial 16S ribosomal RNA". It matches the Rfam family "Bacterial small subunit ribosomal RNA", at positions 524 to 776 of the family's 1533-position model. The record is from RNAcentral.
UACGUAGGGUGCGAGCGUUGUCCGGAAUUAUUGGGCGUAAAGGGCUCGUAGGCGGUUUGUCGCGUCGGGAGUGAAAAUCCAGGGCUUAACUCUGGACUGGCUUCCGAUACGGGCAGACUAGAGGUAUGCAGGGGAGAACGGAAUUCCUGGUGUAGCGGUGAAAUGCGCAGAUAUCGGGAAGAACACCCGUGGCGAAGGCGGCUCUCUGGGACGGUACUGACGCUGAGACGCGAAAGGCGUGGGGAGCGAACAGG